Molecule: ribosomal RNA, 465 nt
Filed under: uncultured bacterium
Lineage: Bacteria
Description: partial 16S ribosomal RNA
Rfam family: Bacterial small subunit ribosomal RNA
Source: RNAcentral
GACGAACGCUGGCGGCGUGCUUAACACAUGCAAGUCGAACGGAAAGGCCCUGCUUGCAGGGUCCUCGAGUGGCGAACGGGUGAGUAACACGUGGGUGCUCUGCCCUCCACUUCGGGAUAAGCCUGGACAACUGGGUCUAAUACCUGAUAGGAGCUACUUUUUGUGUGUUGGUUGGAAAGUUUUUUCGGUGUUGGAUGAGCUCGCGGCCUAUCAGCUUGUUGGUGGGGUAAUGGCCUACCAAGGCGGCGACGGGUAGCCGGCCUGCGAGGGUGGACGGCCACAUUGGGACUGAGGUAAGGCCGAGACGCCGACGGGAGGAAGAAGGGGGGAAGAUUGCACAAUGGGCGCAAGGCUGAUGCAGCGACGCCGCGUGGGGGAUGACGGCCUUCGGGUUGUAAACAACUUGCGCGAGGGAAGAAGCUUUUUGUGACGGUACCUAGAGAAGAAGCACCGGCUAACUACGUG